Molecule: long non-coding RNA, 421 nt
Organism: Odocoileus virginianus texanus
Lineage: Eukaryota; Metazoa; Chordata; Mammalia; Artiodactyla; Cervidae
Source: RefSeq, a predicted model, not a curated record
GACUGUCACCCUCCGUAAGUUGGCCUAGAACAAGAGGCCAGAAAAGACAGCAGGAGCCGGUGUCAUUUCCGACAUGGCGUGUACUAAUGUGGCUGGAUGGUUACUGUUUAAACCCCCGGCGUGUGAGGGAUGCAAAGUGUGUUUUACUCAAACAUUGAAGGACUAGAACCCAAGGUGUUAUUUCCAGACCCCCUUGUCCACAGUCUCCUUGAGGUCCGGCUGCUCCAGUGUGGCCGUUAAGACCUGCAGAGUCACCACGGGCAGCUUGCCUCGCUUCUCUCCUCCCUGCUCUGGAAACACGGAUUGAUGUGAGAGGACCUGCAAGGGUUACGCAAUUGAUGGCAUCUUCCUGCUGCUGACACAGACGGACAUUGCCCAGGUGAUGAAGAUCGAGCUGGGUCCAGCCCUGAAGGUUUACAAC